AUUGAACGCUGGCGGCAUGCCUUACACAUGCAAGUCGAACGGCAGCACGGGAGCAAUCCUGGUGGCGAGUGGCGAACGGGUGAGUAAUAUAUCGGAACGUGCCCAGUAGUGGGGGAUAGCCUGGCGAAAGCCGGAUUAAUACAGCAUACGACCUAAGGGUGAAAGCGGGGGACCGUAAGGCCGCGCGACAGUGGAGCGGCCGAUAUCAGGUUAGGUAGGUGGUAGGGUAAAAGCCUACCAAGCCAUCGAUCUGUAGCUGGUCUGAGCGGACGACCAGCCACACUGGAACUGAGACACGGUCCAGACUCCUACGGGAGGCAGCAGUGGGGAAUUUUGGACAAUGGGGGCAACCCUGAUCCAGCAAUGCCGCGUGAGUGAAGAAGGCCUUCGGGUUGUAAAGCUCUUUUAGUGGGAAAGAAAAGCUCAAAGCUAAUAACUGUGAGCCUUGACGUUACCCACAGAAAAAGCACUGGCUAACUCUGUGCCAGCAGCCGCGGUAA
Molecule: ribosomal RNA, 500 nt
Filed under: uncultured bacterium
Lineage: Bacteria
Description: partial 16S ribosomal RNA
Rfam family: Bacterial small subunit ribosomal RNA
Source: RNAcentral